RNAcentral lists this ribosomal RNA (392 nucleotides) under uncultured bacterium. RNAcentral describes it as "partial 16S ribosomal RNA". It matches the Rfam family "Bacterial small subunit ribosomal RNA", at positions 523 to 918 of the family's 1533-position model. The record is from RNAcentral.
AUACGGAGGAUGCGAGCGUUAUCCGGAUUUAUUGGGUUUAAAGGGAGCGUAGGCGGGAGCUUAAGUCAGCGGUUAAAUGGUGCGGCUCAACCGUGCCCUGCCGUUGAAACUGGGUUUCUUGAGAGUGCAAGAGGCGGAUGGAAUUCAUGGUGUAGCGGUGAAAUGCUUAGAUAUCAUGAAGAACUCCGAUUGCGAAGGCAGUCCGCUGGGGCACGUCUGACGCUGAUGCUCGAAGGUGCGGGAAUCAAACAGGAUUAGAUACCCUGGUAGUCCGCACGGUAAACGAUGAUUACCCGCUGUCGGCGGCAGACAGUCGGCGGCCAAGCGAGAGCGAUAAGUAAUCCACCUGGGGAGUACGCCGGCAACGGUGAAACUCAAAGGAAUUGACGGGG